UACAGAGGUCUCAAGCGUUGUUCGGAUUCAUUGGGCGUAAAGGGUGCGUAGGUGGCGCGUUAAGUCAGGUGUGAAAUUUCGGAGCUUAACUCCGAAACUGCAUUUGAUACUGGCGUGCUUGAGGACUGGAGAGGAGACUGGAAUUCAUGAUGUAGCAGUGAAAUGCGUAGAGAUCAUGAGGAAGACCAGUGGCGAAGGCGGGUCUCUGGACAGUUCCUGACACUGAGGCACGAAGGCCAGGGGAGCAAACGGG
Molecule: ribosomal RNA, 253 nt
Filed under: uncultured bacterium
Lineage: Bacteria
Description: partial 16S ribosomal RNA
Rfam family: Bacterial small subunit ribosomal RNA
Source: RNAcentral